RNAcentral lists this ribosomal RNA (390 nucleotides) under uncultured bacterium. RNAcentral describes it as "bacterial SSU rRNA". It matches the Rfam family "Bacterial small subunit ribosomal RNA", at positions 29 to 416 of the family's 1533-position model. The record is from RNAcentral.
AUUGAACGCUGGCGGCAUGCCUUACACAUGCAAGUCGAACGGUAACGGGCCUUCGGCCUGCCGGCGAGUGGCGAACGGGUGAGUAAUGCAUCGGAACGUGCCCAUGUCGUGGGGGAUAACGUAGCGAAAGCUACGCUAAUACCGCAUACGCCCUGAGGGGGAAAGCGGGGGAUUCUUCGGAACCUCGCGCGAUUGGAGCGGCCGAUGUCGGAUUAGCUAGUAGGUGAGGUAAAGGCUCACCUAGGAAACGCGAUCCGUAGCGGGUCUGAGAGGAUGAUCCGCCACACUGGGACUGAGACACGGCCCAGACUCCUACGGGAGGCAGCAGUGGGGAAUUUUGGACAAUGGGCGAAAGCCUGAUCCAGCCAUGCCGCGUGAGUGAAGAAGGCC